Molecule: non-coding RNA, 125 nt
Organism: Pseudozyma hubeiensis SY62
Lineage: Eukaryota; Fungi; Basidiomycota; Ustilaginomycetes; Ustilaginales; Ustilaginaceae
Source: the annotation of a RefSeq genome assembly
GGUUGCUUCGUCCAGUGGUAGGAUACCUCUUUCGGGCAAAACAUAACCCGGUAUGUUACAUACCAGAUCGAGGCUCUAGGUUCGAAUUCUAGAGGUGGUCGCGGGUUCGAAUCCCGCAGUGACCC